Molecule: transfer RNA, 69 nt
Filed under: Ictidomys tridecemlineatus (thirteen-lined ground squirrel)
Lineage: Eukaryota; Metazoa; Chordata; Mammalia; Rodentia; Sciuridae
Description: Spermophilus tridecemlineatus (thirteen-lined ground squirrel) tRNA
Rfam family: tRNA
About the family: Transfer RNA (tRNA) molecules are approximately 80 nucleotides in length. Their secondary structure includes four short double-helical elements and three loops (D, anti-codon, and T loops).
Source: Rfam by way of RNAcentral
GGGGUUGUGGCUCAGUGGUAGAGCAUUCACCUAGCACGCGUAUGGCACUGGGUUCGAUCCUCAGCACCA